Molecule: long non-coding RNA, 478 nt
Organism: Pipra filicauda (Wire-tailed manakin)
Lineage: Eukaryota; Metazoa; Chordata; Aves; Passeriformes; Pipridae
Exons: 4
Source: RefSeq, a predicted model, not a curated record
GCAAUGAAGCUGGCGAAGGGCCUAGAGAACAGCCAAGAAGGGCGCAAGGGAGAUGUGCAGCUUCUUGACUCAUCCUCUAGCCCCCACUUUGGACAUGCACCCCACCGCGGCCAGCAUGGCUCUGUGCACCCUUGCAGGAAUUUGCUUUAGGUUUUAAAUUCCCUUUAUAGAGAGAAACUGCAGUCCUGUUCCUGACGCUUUUGAGUACCCAAACACCUCUCUCCUUGCAUUUUGGUCAUUGGUUGUGCUCCUCAGAGGCCAUUUCAUCAUGUUGCAAGGGGCAGCGCGGGAGUCUGUGGUACAGAUGUCUGCCUAACAGCUGGUUGCCAUGUCCUACAAACACUUUUCCUGCUGAAAGCAUGUUGGAAGGCAUUUUAAGGGCAGUGCCGGUUAAGAAGAGUCAGCCCAACAGGCAGCUUGGAAAGAUGACUGGAGUCCUGAAUGCAGAAUAAUUCCCAAAGGAUCCUUUUCUGUUUCA